AACGAACGCUGGCGGCAUGCCUAAUACAUGCAAGUCGAACGAUCACUUCGGUGGUAGUGGCGCACGGGUGCGUAACGCGUGGGAAUCUGCCCUUGGGUUCGGAAUAACGUCGGGAAACUGACGCUAAUACCGGAUGAUGACGUAAGUCCAAAGAUUUAUCGCCCAGGGAUGAGCCCGCGUAGGAUUAGCUAGUUGGUGGGGUAAAGGCCUACCAAGGCGACGAUCCUUAGCUGGUCUGAGAGGAUGAUCAGCCACACUGGGACUGAGACACGGCCCAGACUCCUACGGGAGGCAGCAGUAGGGAAUAUUGCACAAUGGGGGCAACCUUGAUCCAGCAAUGCCGCGCGAGUGAUGAAGACCUUAGGGUUGUAAAGCUCUUUUACCCGGGAUGAUAAUGACAGUACCGGGAGAAUAAGCCCCGGCUAACUCCGUGCCAGCCGCCGCCGUAA
This 449-nucleotide ribosomal RNA is filed under the name uncultured bacterium. RNAcentral's name for it is "partial 16S ribosomal RNA". It matches the Rfam family "Bacterial small subunit ribosomal RNA", at positions 29 to 523 of the family's 1533-position model. The record is from RNAcentral.